GACGAACGCUGGCGGCGUGCUUAACACAUGCAAGUCGAACGGAAAGGCCUUUUCGGAGGUACUCGGGUGGCGAACGGGUGAGUAACACGUGGGUGAUCUGCCCUGCACUCUGGGAUAAGCCUGGGAAACUGGGUCUAAUACCGGAUAGGACCGCACUUUAGUGUGUGUGGUGGAAAGUUUUUUCGGUGUAGGAUGAGCCCGCGGCCUAUCAGCUUGUUGGUGGGGUAAUGGCCUACCAAGGCGGCGACGGGUAGCCGGACUGAGAGGUUGGUCGGCCACAUUGGGACUGAGAUACGGCCCAGACUCCUACGGGAGGCAGCAGUGGGGAAUAUUGCACAAUGGGCGCAAGCCUGAUGCAGCGACGCCGCGUGGGGGAUGACGGCCUUCGGGUUGUAAACUCCUUUCGCCAGGGACGAAGCGUUUUGUGACGGUACCUGGAGAAGAAGCACCGGCUAACUACGUC
RNAcentral lists this ribosomal RNA (463 nucleotides) under uncultured bacterium. RNAcentral describes it as "partial 16S ribosomal RNA". It matches the Rfam family "Bacterial small subunit ribosomal RNA", at positions 28 to 507 of the family's 1533-position model. The record is from RNAcentral.